CGGGGCGUGGCGCAGUCUGGUAGCGCACUUGUUUUGGGUACAAGGGGUCGUUGGUUCGAAUCCAGCCGUCCCGACCA
Molecule: transfer RNA, 77 nt
Filed under: Paramylibacter ulvae
Lineage: Bacteria; Pseudomonadati; Pseudomonadota; Alphaproteobacteria; Rhodobacterales; Paracoccaceae
Also listed under: 7 other names
Description: Amylibacter ulvae tRNA-Pro(tgg)
Rfam family: tRNA
About the family: Transfer RNA (tRNA) molecules are approximately 80 nucleotides in length. Their secondary structure includes four short double-helical elements and three loops (D, anti-codon, and T loops).
Source: RNAcentral